Long non-coding RNA from Brassica oleracea var. oleracea, 324 nucleotides. RefSeq lists it as uncharacterized. The record is from RefSeq and is a predicted model, not a curated record. The transcript has 2 exons. Lineage: Eukaryota; Viridiplantae; Streptophyta; Magnoliopsida; Brassicales; Brassicaceae.
CGAUGGGUAAGACCGUAAGAAAGUUGAGAGUUGAGAUUAUACAGAAAUAACCAAACCGGUCCGGUUACGUGUACGAACCACGAUUCUUGUGAGUUUCCCUAUUUAAAAUAAACCGUACAAGUUCAUGUCUGAAUGUUUGGCACGGACACCGACGGGGGAAACAGCUGUUUUGUCGGCGUCGGUUGGGAGAUUUUGUCGAAGAUCACUGCUUCUUAUAUAUCAGACUCGUCAACAGACAGGGUAACUCUGGAACUAAAGCUAAAGACAAUCUUGCUGAUGCAGUGUGCUACAUGUCCUGCAGAGGUUAGUGUUCUUCACUAAAGG